Molecule: ribosomal RNA, 253 nt
Filed under: uncultured bacterium
Lineage: Bacteria
Description: partial 16S ribosomal RNA
Rfam family: Bacterial small subunit ribosomal RNA
Source: RNAcentral
UACGAAGGGUGCAAGCGUUAUUCGGAAUUACUGGGCGUAAAGCGUGCGUAGGUGGUUCGUUAAGUCUGAUGUGAAAGCCCUGGGCUCAACCUGGGAACUGCAUUGGAUACUGGCGAUCUGGAGUGCGGUAGAGGGUGGCGGAAUUCCCGGUGUAGCAGUGAAAUGCGUAGAUAUCGGGAGGAACAUCCGUGGCGAAGGCGGCCACCUGGACCAGCACUGACACUGAGGCACGAAAGCGUGGGGAGCAAACAGG